AGCGAACGCUGGCGGUAGGCCUAACACAUGCAAGUCGAACGGCAGCACAGUAAGUGCUUGCUCUUACGGGUUGCGAGUGGCGUACGUGUGAGGUAUACAUCGUAAUCUACUUUUUCGUGUGGCUUAACGUAAGUAAACUUACUCCAAUACAGCAUACGACCUACGGGUGAAAGCAGGGGAUCUUUUGACCUUGCGCGAUUGAAUGAGCCGAUGUCGGAUUAGCUAGUUGGCGGGGUAAAGGCCCACCAAGGCGACGAUCCGUAGCUGGUCGGUGAGGAUGGUCAGCCACACUGGAAGUGAGACAGGGUCCAGGGGCCUACGGGAGGCAGCAGUGGGGAAUGUUAGACAAUGGGGGGAAGCCUGAUACAGCGAGACCGCGUGGGUGAAAAAGGCGUUGGGGUUGUAAUGCCCUUUUUUUGGGAAAGAAAAGCAGCAGGUUGAUACGACGCUGGAGUGACGGUACCCAAAGAAUAAGCACCGGCUAACUACGUG
RNAcentral lists this ribosomal RNA (492 nucleotides) under uncultured bacterium. RNAcentral's name for it is "partial 16S ribosomal RNA". It matches the Rfam family "Bacterial small subunit ribosomal RNA", at positions 29 to 507 of the family's 1533-position model. The record is from RNAcentral.